GAUGAACGCUGGCGGCGUGCCUAAUACAUGCAAGUCGAGCGAACAGACGAGGAGCUUGCUCCUCUAACGUUAGCGGCGGACGGGUGAGUAACACGUGGAUAACCUACCUAUAAGACUGGGAUAACUUCGGGAAACCGGAGCUAAUACCGGAUAAUAUAUUGAACCGCAUGGUUCAAUAGUGAAAGACGGUUUUGCUGUCACUUAUAGAUGGAUCCGCGCCGCAUUAGCUAGUUGGUAAGGUAACAGCUUACCAAGGCAACGAUGCGUAGCCGACCUGAGAGGGUGAUCGGCCACACUGGAACUGAGACACGGUCCAGACUCCUACGGGAGGCAGCAGUAGGGAAUCUGCCGCAAUGGGCGAAAGCCUGACGGAGCAACGCCGCGUGAGUGAUGAAGGUCUUCGGAUCGUAAAACUCUGUUAUUAGGGAAGAACAAAUGUGUAAGUAACGAUGCACGUCUUGACGGUACCUAAUCAGAAAGCCACGGCUAACUACGU
RNAcentral lists this ribosomal RNA (496 nucleotides) under uncultured bacterium. Its description in RNAcentral is "partial 16S ribosomal RNA". It matches the Rfam family "Bacterial small subunit ribosomal RNA", at positions 28 to 506 of the family's 1533-position model. The record is from RNAcentral.